AGAGUUUGAUCAUGGCUCAGAACGAACGCUGGCGGCGCGUUUUAAGCAUGCAAGUCGAGCGGCAGGGGGGCUUCGGUCCCCCGAGAGCGGCGGACGGGUGAGUAACACGUGGACAACCUGCCCCCCGGUUCGGGAUAGCCCAGGGAAACCUGGAUCAAUACCGGAUGCGAGGGCGGCCGCACAAGCGGCCGUCGGGAAAGGCGCUUCGGCGCCGCCGGGGGAUGGGUCCGCGUCCCAUUAGCUAGACGGUGGGGUAACGGCCCACCGUGGCGAUGAUGGGUAGCCGGCCUGAGAGGGUGGACGGCCACAUUGGAACUGAGACACGGUCCAGACUCCUACGGGAGGCAGCAGCUAAGAAUCUUCCGCAAUGGGCGAAAGCCUGACGGAGCGACGCCGCGUGAACGAAGAAGGCCGUGAGGUUGUAAAGUUCUUUUCGGGAGGGGGAACGAGGCUGCCAGGCAAUGGGCGGCCGAUGACGUGAAUCCCGGAAUAAGCCCCGGCUAACUACGUGCCAGCAGCCGCGGUAACACGUAGGGGGCGAGCGUUGUUCGGAAUCAUUGGGCGUAAAGGGCGUGCAGGCGGCCGCCAAAGUCCGGCGUGAAAGACCCAGGCUCAACCUGGGGGGUGCGCCGGAUACUGGGCGGCUUGAGUACAGGAGGGGACGGCGGAAUUCCAGGUGUAGGGGUGAAAUCUGUAGAUAUCUGGAGGAACACCGAUGGCGAAGGCAGCCGUCUGGCCAUGUACUGACGCUGAGGCGCGAAGGUGCGGGGAGCAAACAGGUUUAGAUACCCUGGUAGUCCGCACAGUAAACGAUGUGCACCAGGCGGCGGGGGCAACCUCGCUGCCGCAGUCAACGCAUUAAGUGCACCGCCUGGGGAGUAUGCCCGCAAGGGUGAAACUCAAAUGAAUUGACGG
This 915-nucleotide ribosomal RNA is filed under the name uncultured bacterium. RNAcentral's name for it is "bacterial SSU rRNA". It matches the Rfam family "Bacterial small subunit ribosomal RNA", at positions 8 to 916 of the family's 1533-position model. The record is from RNAcentral.